Molecule: long non-coding RNA, 1872 nt
Organism: Rana temporaria (common frog)
Lineage: Eukaryota; Metazoa; Chordata; Amphibia; Anura; Ranidae
Exons: 2
Source: RefSeq, a predicted model, not a curated record
CGUCCAAACUUCAUGCUGUAUCCCAAAAGGAAGUUGAACCAAGGAACAAGCACUACAAGGGAAGAGUGUUAACCACUCAGACAGGACUUUAUUGUAGCUUUAUUCUUCUAAUCCAGUUUUCCUUGGCCAACCAUAAUGUGUUUAACACACUUUUUAAACUGGCAGGUAUGUCUUUAUAAUAAAAUAAAAAAAAGCCAUCUACAGCAUCUUAUACUAUUCUGCUCAGUGAUCCGUGUAAAAGACAGGUGUUCUCUAUAUGCUAUAAGAGAAAGUUAAAUAUGCCAUUAGAAUUGUUCAUUGUCAAGCUCCAUUUCUUAUCAGUUAGGUCACCACUGUGUCAAAGACCUAACUUCAGGCAGGGCUGUCUUUAAUAUUUAUUGGACCCUGGGUAAACAUUUUCUUGGGCCUUCCUGAAUCUACUUAUCAACUAUUGGUAGGAAGGGGGUCUCAAGGGGCAGCUGCUUGGGGCCCCACAACAAUGACUGGAUCCGGGGCAGCUGCCCUUUUGCCCUGUGUUAAAGACAGCACUGACUUCAGGAAUGAGCCAUGAAUCAGUAAGGCAUGAUUUAGGCCUGAAUAUAUGGUAGUGCUACACACAGAUCAUGUGGCCAGUGCUGAGCUUUUUCAUAUUCCAUGGGCUUCAACCAGAUGCCUUUCAAACAACCACCAGCUUGUACCUAUUUAUUGCUCUAUUACUGCAUUCUGCCUACAUUUCAGUCAUUGCACCAGACACAACAUAAACUCACAGAACAUGACUCAUAAUGCUUACAUAGAAUGGUUUGGCAGCGGGAUAGAAAGGACCGUGUUGUUCAGUCACACAAAAGUGGCGCCAUUUAGACUUGUAUGUUAGGAAAGCAGUAUAAAACGAAACGUAAAAGAAAUGACAGCAACCGUUGUCAUUUGUCUUUUUAUGAUUCAAUACUUCCAAGACAUUCAAUGUCAUCUCUGGUAAAGGUGAAAAGAGCACUUAGGACGGGAGGGAUGGCUGUUUAUUUUUCUAUUUUUUUGGCUAUGCCGAAAAUCUAAACAGAUUUGGUGUGUCAAGGUGUGUUUUUAGCAUGCCCUGAGAAUGAUGGUAAUGUACGGUAGAUAACAAUGUCAUCUCUGGUAAAGGUGAAAAGAGCACUUAGGACGGGAGGGAUGGCUGUUUAUUUUUAUUUUUUUUGGCUAUGCCGAAAAUCUGAACAGAUUUGGUGUCAAGGUGUGUUUUUAGCAUGCCCUGAGAAUGAUGGUAAUGUACGGUAGAUAACAAUGUCAUCUCUGGUAAAGGUGAAAAGAGCACUUAGGACGGGAGGGGUGGCUGUUUAUUAAAUUUUUUUUGGCUAUUCCGAAAAUCUGAACAGAUUUGGUGUGUCAAGGUGUGUUUUUAGCAUGCCCUGAGAAUAAUGGUAAUGUAGAUAACAAUGUCAUCUCUGGUAAAGGUGAAAAGAGCACUUAGGACGGGAGGGAGGGAUGGUAGUUUUAUUUGUUUUGGGCUAUGCCAAAAAUCUGAACAGAUUUGGCUUUUCAAGGUGUGUUUUAGCAUGCCCUGAGAAUAAUGGUAAUGUAUGUCAUUUCUGGUAAAGGUGAAAAGAGCACUUAGGACGGGAGGGAGGGAUGGUGUUUUUUUUUUUUUUUUGGGCUAUCCUAAAAAUCUGAACAGAUUUGGCUUUUCAAGGUGUGUUUUAGCAUGCCGUGAGAAUAAUGGUAAUGUAGGUUACAAUGUCAUCUCUGGUAAAGGUGAAAAGAGCACUUAGGACGGGAGGGAUGGCUGUUUUCUUGUUUUCUUUUUUGUGGCUUUGCCGAAAAUUGGAACAGUUUGGUGUGUUCUAGCAUGCCUUGAGAAUGAUGGUAAUGUAAUGUUAAAGCAACGAAUAAACACAUUUCACAUCA